UUAAUUUUAAAUCCAUUUGAUAGAAUUAAUCAUAUAAGCCAGUCUCAUUUCCCUGCAAAUGUCUGCCUUCGUGCAGGUGAUUUUAUAGAAAGAAGAGCUUCUCUUUCAACUCCAUGGACAUCAGAGAGAGUCCCUUUCAAAAAAGGAGGCUCAGGUCUGGAGAGACAAAGGCCUCCACUUUCUCAAAGGCCUCUUGGAUCAAGCCCAGAUCCUCAUCAGCACUGACAACAUGUCCAGCCUGCACUACUGCAAGAACUUCUUUUUCUAUGGUAGUGUGGUCAACUGAAGAAGCCGGCUUAGUUGCUCCAGUCAGGUGCUCACACUAAGAAAGGUUGGGUGAAGGUUAUAAAGUGGCUGUGAAUGAGAACUCGAUCUGGGCUCUACCAAGCAGAGAAGCCAUGCAGAGAUGAGAAAGGUGAAAGGCAUGAAACCAUGUUAAGCAGAAAAAUAAAAAUUCAUAAAAGAA
Molecule: long non-coding RNA, 466 nt
Filed under: Pongo abelii (Sumatran orangutan)
Lineage: Eukaryota; Metazoa; Chordata; Mammalia; Primates; Hominidae
Description: lincRNA
Source: RNAcentral